UACAGAGGUCUCGAGCGUUGUUCGGAUUCAUUGGGCGUAAAGGGCGCGUAGGUGGCGGGACAAGCGUGCGGUGAAAGCCUGGGGCUCAACUCCGGGUCGGCCGUGCGAACUGUUUUGCUUGAGCACUGUAGAGGCAGGCGGAAUUCCGGGUGUAGCGGUGGAAUGCGUAGAGAUCAUGAGGAAGACCAGUGGCGAAGGCGGGUCUCUGGACAGUUCCUGACACUGAGACACGAAGGCCAGGGGAGCAAACGGG
This 253-nucleotide ribosomal RNA is filed under the name uncultured bacterium. RNAcentral describes it as "partial 16S ribosomal RNA". It matches the Rfam family "Bacterial small subunit ribosomal RNA", at positions 524 to 776 of the family's 1533-position model. The record is from RNAcentral.